AUAGUACAGCCAAAAUGGAACGUGCGAUUGAAAUGCGGGUUCAUUUGAUGCUUUUGUUUGCUCUAGACUAUUAUUUUUUUGGGGGUAAUUUUUGACGAGUAAACUGAAUGUAAGUCUUUCAUUUAAAUCUCAGGAGCUUUCCAGAUGUUUACGCGCACUGAUACAAGAGAAGUGUUUCUGUACUGUGUGGAAUCUACUCAGUGCAGGGCGGCCAUUAUGAGGUGUGUGAAGGUCCGUUUCUGUUACCGUGUCCUGUAGCUACAGAACAAAGGACCGGGAUGGCGUGGUCAGGUCAACCCAGAGGUCUGGUGAUCUUUGAAGUGUUCAACUGCAAGUGUGGAAUCAUCUUAUACCUACAGCAGGAUGCUGAGUAGGGGUGGGUACCGGUACAGAAAAUUCAGGUCCAGGUCCGGUUCAGGUCCAGAGUAUCA
This is a long non-coding RNA of Branchiostoma floridae (Florida lancelet), 431 nucleotides long. RefSeq lists it as uncharacterized. The transcript is spliced from 3 exons. Lineage: Eukaryota; Metazoa; Chordata; Leptocardii; Amphioxiformes; Branchiostomatidae. The record is from RefSeq and is a predicted model, not a curated record.